GACGAACGCUGGCGGCGUGCUUAACACAUGCAAGUCGAACGGAAAGGCCCUGCUUUUGUGGGGUGCUCGAGUGGCGAACGGGUGAGUAACACGUGAGUAACCUGCCCUUGACUUUGGGAUAACUUCAGGAAACUGGGGCUAAUACCGGAUAGGAGCUCCUGCUGCAUGGUGGGGGUUGGAAAGUUUCGGCGGUUGGGGAUGGACUCGCGGCUUAUCAGCUUGUUGGUGGGGUAGUGGCUUACCAAGGCUUUGACGGGUAGCCGGCCUGAGAGGGUGACCGGCCACAUGGGGACUGGGAUACGGCCCAGACUCCUACGGGGGGCAGCGGUGGGGAAUAUUGAACAAGGGGCGGAGGCCGGAUGCAGCAACGCCGGGUGCGGAAUGACGGCCUUCGGGUUGUAAACCGCUUUCGCCGGUGACGAAGCGUGAGUGACGGUAAUGGGUAAAGAAGCACCGGCUAACUACGU
RNAcentral lists this ribosomal RNA (467 nucleotides) under uncultured bacterium. RNAcentral's name for it is "partial 16S ribosomal RNA". It matches the Rfam family "Bacterial small subunit ribosomal RNA", at positions 28 to 506 of the family's 1533-position model. The record is from RNAcentral.